GGCGGCGUAGCUCAGUUGGUAGAGCAGCCGGCUCAUACCCGGUAUGUCGAGAGUUCGACCCUCCCCGCCGCCA
This 73-nucleotide transfer RNA is filed under the name Firmicutes bacterium CAG:345. It matches the Rfam family "tRNA". Rfam says of the family: Transfer RNA (tRNA) molecules are approximately 80 nucleotides in length. Their secondary structure includes four short double-helical elements and three loops (D, anti-codon, and T loops). Lineage: Bacteria; Bacillati; Bacillota. The record is from Rfam by way of RNAcentral.